This 253-nucleotide ribosomal RNA is filed under the name uncultured bacterium. RNAcentral describes it as "partial 16S ribosomal RNA". It matches the Rfam family "Bacterial small subunit ribosomal RNA", at positions 524 to 776 of the family's 1533-position model. The record is from RNAcentral.
UACGAAGGGGGCUAGCGUUGCUCGGAAUUACUGGGCGUAAAGGGCGCGUAGGCGGACAGUUUAGUCAGAGGUGAAAGCCCAGGGCUCAACCUUGGAAUUGCCUUUGAUACUGGCUGUCUUGAGUUCGGGAGAGGUGAGUGGAAUGCCGAGUGUAGAGGUGAAAUUCGUAGAUAUUCGGAAGAACACCAGUGGCGAAGGCGACUAACUGGACAAGUAUUGACGCUGAGGUACGAAAGCGUGGGGAGCAAACAGG